ACAAUAGAAUCCCAAAAGCGUGGGUUGCCACAUGCACACAUACUGCUUUGGUUGGAUGGUGCAUCAAGAAUACCAACAAUCCAGGAAAUUGACGCAAUAAUCUCCGCCGAAUUUCCACAAAAAGAGAUCGACCAACAUGGAUUUGAGCUUGUGGAAAGACACAUGAUGCACGGUCCAUGUGGCUUGGAUAGACCAAAAUCACCCUGCAUGAAAAACAGGGAAUGUUCAAAGAAAUAUCCAAGACAAUUGACUCAACAUACAUCGAUAGACAAAUCUGGUUACAUAAUAUACCGUCGACGUCAAAAUGAAAAUAACUUUGUUAUCAAGAGAGGAACAAGAUUGGAUAAUCGCUUUGUUAUUCCACACAACUUGGCUAUCUUAAAAAAAUACCAAGCUCACAUAAAUGUGGAGUGGUGCAACAGAACAAAUGCUGUUAAAUACCUUUUCAAAUAUAUUACAAAGAGAGUUGAUAAAGCAACCAUUGUGAUAGAAAAAGGUACCGAUGCCUUAGAGAAAACUCAACAUAAUGGAUCAACAAAGAGACCAAGAGAUGAGAUACAAAAAUACCUUGACUGCCGAUACUUAUCUGCUUGUGAAGCCAUGUGGAGGAUAUUUGGAUAUCACAUACACCACCGGAACGGAAACCUGCAGUUCAGAAACUUAUAAUUCAUCUACCUGGAGAGCAAAACAUAACAUAUAGAGCUACAGAUGAUCUCAGUCGAGUCCUAGCUAGGGAAGAUAUUGAGAGGACAAUGUUAACAGCGUGGAUGGAAAAAAAACGAAGAGUC
Molecule: long non-coding RNA, 788 nt
Filed under: Arabidopsis lyrata
Lineage: Eukaryota; Viridiplantae; Streptophyta; Magnoliopsida; Brassicales; Brassicaceae
Description: long non-coding RNA (ALYR_LNC002639)
Source: RNAcentral